RNAcentral lists this long non-coding RNA (11801 nucleotides) under Lactuca sativa (garden lettuce). RNAcentral describes it as "long non-coding RNA (LSAT_LNC003668)". Lineage: Eukaryota; Viridiplantae; Streptophyta; Magnoliopsida; Asterales; Asteraceae. The record is from RNAcentral.
AAAAUUGAAAUAAAACUUUCAUUUUUAAGACCGAGCCCAAAACCAUAAUUGUUUACAAAACACUAUUUCCAAAAGUCAUAUUUACAAAUCAAAGUAUCCUGAAAUCGAAUUUCAUAAAUUUUGAAAGAUGUGCAUGAUCAAGCCUUCGCCUUGCCCCGAUCAUCUAAAGAACCUGAAACCAUAACAAACAACUGUAAGCACGAAGCAUAGUGAGUUCCCCAAAAGUCCCACCAUACAACAUAUAACAUAUAUAAUCAUGCAUACAGGGUCCAAUCUCUCAUCGAACUUGAAUACCCACAGGUACACAACCUCCCAGUUGGAUUACCCCUGGGCCACAGUCUUCCGGUCGGAAUUCCCUGUCCGAGUCAAUCAUCAGACUAGAAUACUAAUAUAUAAUGGGUCUAUUCAAUCAUCAAACUAGAAUACCUUUGGGUCAACAGUCAUCGGGUUGGAUUACCCCCGUUCUGUUGGCUCUUUCACAUAGUAGUAAAGCCUCAACCUAAAACCAUAACAUGUCAACAUAUACAUAACAAAUAAAAUAUAUCCAACAACAGAUAAUCAGAUAACAAGUCAAUAGACAUAUAGGCCGAUCCACAUAUCACUACCGUAUACCAACAUCCUAUAUACCAUGACAUGGAUCUAACAGAUCACUACAUCAUUGAUGCGUUCAACCCACAAGAAAAGUUAGGAAAACUCACCUCUCAGUCUGAAAAGAUUGUUGAACAUGACACUACUCUGAAUAUCAGCUCUACCGGUCACCUAUCCAUUGGAACAUAACCAAACAUAACUAUAAAUCAAAAUACCCUAAGGUCAAACUUGGUCAAAACAUGGUCAAAGUCAAAAAAUCAAAAACUCAACCGAUUUGACUCCGCUGAAUACGUCCAACGUACUUAGCAUGUACGCUUAGCGUACUCAAGGAAUAGAUUGGGCCUUCAAGGGAGUACGCCCUACGUACUCAGAAGUACGCCUAGUGUACUCGGCCAAAAAUCAUUUCCCAUUUGAAGUGCUUAAUUCAUUAAGUCCUUUCGUCCAAAUGCAAAUCUAGCCCCCAAAUGAUGUCCUUAACCAUAAAGUUUCCAACUUUAUGGUCUUGCAUGGUUAUUAAGUGCUCAAUACCAAAAACCAUAACUUCUUAACUCAAUAAGACAUCCUAUCCCAUGCAUGGAAGAUAACUAAUGACCAAGAUUACAUUUUUAUGCUUCUAAAUACUCCAAAACAUCUGAAAGGAUAGAUCAUAUGAAUUAGAGUAGCCCAUACUCAUAAUACCAGGCUUAUGGGACCAAAAGAAGAUAAGUCCAUGGCUAAGCAAGAUCUAGUCAAUACUUCAUCAAGUUCAGAGCUUUUUACCUUCAAAUGAUGGCAAAUGAUGAUGUAAUUUUGGAUCCAAAUUGAUCCACUCUUUUAAGAUGGUAUCCUCUUCUUCCCUCCUUCUUCAAGAUCACUAAAACACACAUAAUGUCUCAAAUAUGCUCUCAAAUGGAGUAGGCUUUUCAAAGGGUCGAAAUGGAGCUGGAGGCUGAUGAAAGAAAGAAGUCUUGGGAGAUAAGGAUGUUUAAAUAGGGUUCAAACCCUACAAAUUAGGGUUUGAACCUUGACCACGUAUGCCCAGUGUACCAGGUGUAUGCUCAACAUACUCAAGUAAGUCUACGUACGCCCAACAUACUCAACAUGUACGCCCAACGUACUAACGCAACCCCCAUAAUUACAAGAAUGCCAUUAUGGACGAAUUUUGAAAACAAUUCUCAUACCAAGGGUUAAAAGUGUAAUUACUUGGAAAUAGAGAUGUUACAAUUCUCCCCCACUUAAGUAAGACUUUGUCCUUGAAGUCCGCUUUCACAAAUAACUCAGAUUAGUGUUCUCGCAUCUCCGCCUCGGGACAUUCAGACAAUCCUCCCCGAAGCGCGAUCCGAACAAAAAGUUGGCACAUUCAGGCGACUGCCUUCCCAUACUAUAAUUAACCUAAUCUUAGUGAAAUCUAUGUACCCCGACCAAUAUUUGACCCGCUAACUUUACCACUAAAGAAAAACCAUCAAAAUUCUGCCCAGAAUCCGGAAAUAUACCUUGACUAACUCUCAACCAGGAAAAACUAUCUCUGAACACAGUCAAUAGGACUUCAUUUCGCAAUCUGGACCAUAUAAACCCCUUCCGACCCCGAAUUACCUUGUUGAUACCACUAGGAAACAGAACCCUUAAAUAUUCAUUGUUGUUGAACCCUUCAUUCAAAAACAAGGUGACUACCAACACGAGUCUUAGCUAGAUAACCACUGUAGAGAAACACGUACAACGCCAACAUAUUCCACAACUUCCUAGCUAUAAGACCUAACUUCUAGUGAGAACCACAGAUCCGAGGACUCUCAUAAAUACAACCACCGAAACAACUCCAUCUAUAUGCUCCCAAGGACUAGGAACCCAUCAGUUCUAAACUUCAGAAACCAUACUCCAAGACUAAUAUUCACCCAUUCGUUAAACCUACCCCUUAACUUUGACUAAGAACACCAUCAAACAUGUGGAACGAAUACUCAAAACACACUAAUCGGGAAUUUCAACCAAUCCCAAAUCCAAAAUUCGAACCAAAAACCUAAAAUAAACCCUUGACUCCCUGACACAUGAUUACCAACCCACUGCUCCACACAUGGUCAUUUUCACACUUAGACCAUUCAGAUUAUAUUAUCACCCUCUCAGUUCCACUUACAUACUCUUAGGAGCCAAAUUUUCUAGUUAAAAAAAUUAUAAAAUAAAUAAAUAAAUAAAUAAAAAUAAAAAUAAAUAAAUAAAUGGAAAGCAAAAAUUUCCAGCCGCAACUGUCUUAGAUUGGUGACUGGUUCAAUUAUUGAACAAAAUUUCCAACAUUUUGGUCGCCCGAAGUUUGAUAUUCAUUUAUUUAGGUAUGUUUUAUUGUAUAUAGAUCGAGUUGUUUUUCGCGAAUUGGUGAAUGUUAGGGAGACCAUCGAGUCGGAUACUAUGGGAGGUUUGGGCCAACAUUAAGUGAACCGAUUCCUACAAUGGUGCCCAAGCGAUUAAACCCAAUUACACAUGAGAGAAACCGGCAGACGUGAGAUCAGCGUGUACACUUAAAGAACAGCUCCACCCAAGCCCAUUCAGCUGCUUUCUCCCUACAGUUGCUUUCUCCCUACUACAUAUGUUCUUCAUUGUAUGCAUGUUCCAUUGGGGCUGCGACUGAUCAUCCCUCCUUACUCACCUAGAGGAGUUGUCCUAGCUGUGGUUUAUGGUCCCAUUGUCAUCGGAUGAAAAAGUUGUGAGAUAACAACGAGAUCAAUUAUGACCAUGUUGACUAACGUUGAACAGGUUCUAUGGUUCUUUCCAUUCUUUUUAUUUUUUUGGAUAAUUCGUCCCAAGUUUAUUUUAGUCUUGUCUUACUUGAGGACAAGUAAGGUUCAAGCUUGGGGUGAUUUGAUAGCUUCAUUUUAUUACUUCUUUCCAUAGUUUAUUUUUAGUUAAAACCAUCUCAUUUUAGUUAAUAUUCAUGCAUAUUUUUCUCUUUUUGUUAUUUUCCUCAUUUACUAGGUGCUUUCCAUUCUCUUGAGCUUAUUUUGCAGAAUUUACUGGAGACUAUUUGUUACUGGAGGUAUUGAAGGAGUGCGGGACUAUUGGAGGCGUGCAAUUUGUUUGUGGACUUGAGGUGGUACAAUUGGGCUCGGUGUCAACAAAAGCAAGAAGCAUAUUGGACUUAAUCUUUGGACAAGAAUUCGAGCUACGGUAGAUUGAAGGAGCGUUGGAUCAUUAUUGGAGGUUGUGGAGUAACACAAUUGGGCUAUCAAGACUUGCACAAAUGGGCUAGAGCAUAAAAUAGAAGAUUGGGUUGGAUGGUUUUUGUAUUGGGCUAAAACAUUCAUUUAGCGUGACCCACGCGGUCUGCGUGGACCCAUACGCGGUUCGCGUGAAUUGUGAUGAAGUGAACCCGGGUUUUGACUUGUUGACUCUAUUUAUGGAAGGUUGGUGGGUGGCUUUUGGCACCUUUUCAAAUCCAUAAAUGAGCCCCUUUUUGCUGAAGAUUGGAGGUAUUACUGUCAUCUAUCACUUGAAGAACACACACAAUUUUCUCUCAAGAAAGCUUUCGAAGAUUUGAAGAUUUUUGAAGACUAGUGUGAUUUCUUUCCAUCUUGCAACUAGAACAAUGUUUGGUACCACUAAACUAUAUUGCAUUUCUUUUACUUUGGUCAUGCUUGGCUAAACUUUCAUUUGGUUGAUUAGGGUUUAACCCAUGGAUGAUUAGUUGCUUUGAAGACUUAUUAUUAUCAUGUGUUUGAAGUUUAUGGAAAUGUUUUCUAGUUAAACAUCUUGUUGAGUUUAUUUAUCUUUGAUCAUGAGCUUAGAUGUAUGAAUGCUUAUUUUUGUUGCCUAAUUUCUUGGUUAAGUAAUGGACCCUCAAAUUAGUAAGAAACAAAUGGUUUAUAUGUUUGUUUUCAUUUCAUUUAGACCAUGGAAAUGUUUCCUCCAUAAUGAUAAUGUAAGCAUUUGAUUAUCUUUUGGACUUGGUAACUCUUAGAACUUAAAGCUAAUUGAUUUUCAUAAGAUUAUAAGCUUCAUUGAUUUUGUGACUUUAAUUAAGGAAAUGUGUUAAGAGCUCCUCUAGCCAUUUUAAUAUCUAAGAAGAUUUGAGGUAAUUUGUGCUGAUGAAUUGCUAUUGCCAAGUUAAACCAAUUCACAAGUGUUAUUCCAUUUAGUCUAAUGAUAAGUCAAUCAUGUCAUCCAUGUGGUGUACCCAAAAUCAACUAAUUUCACUUCAUUGAAUUGAAUCAAAUCUUUUACUUGUUUACUUGUCAUAUUUACAUUCUAGCUAGUUUUAAUUUUGUCAAACAAUCAAAAAGAACUAACCCCCCCCCCCAUUUUACUUUUACUUUUGUUUUACAAGUACUUGAACAAGUAAUUUACAUAGAGAUUUAAAUUGAACCAAUCUCCAUGGAUACGAUCCCUUUACCACUAUACACUAUUUUAGUGUGUAAUAUUUAGGGUAUUUAUUUUGUUGGCCUCGACAACCACCACUAAGCUAAUCUUGCCGUUAUUCCAUCGCUAUCCUGAAGACUCAUGACUAGCACCACAGUGGCCUAAAGGUACUCAACCAUCAACCCGAGUCUUACCUAUCUAUAAUACGCAAUCUAUUGAGAGAAAAACUUUUGAGAAACACUUGAACAAACGUUAGUACAAGAUAAGGUUGCGGAAUAAGUUAAUCUCAAAGUAUCAUAAAGCUCAAUAAUAAUAAGAAGUUAGAUUUGUUAGAUAGUUAGUUACAGAAAUGUAAGGUGCGAAAAGUAAAGGAAAUAUAAAUGACAACAAGUUAUAUAUCAAGUAAACACUAAACUGAUUCUUAACAAGGUUUUCAUUCAAACGCAAGUUAGUAUAUGAGAUCAGUUAAAGUGAAAGUAGUCUCGAAGACUAGAUGAGUUAAGAAUACGAUCUUAAUAUUUUGAGUGAAAGUUCAGAAAGAUCUUUUAGAUUGAUAAUCGAAAGAUGAGAAAAGAUAAGUGAUGUGUAUUCAAAGAUGUUCAGAGGUGUAAGUUACAUGAAGAUGAAUUCUCUAUUUAUAGAGACUCAAAAAGUUACAUUGGAAAUAAACAAGUAAUAAACUUCUAACUUAACGUGACCAUGCAAGGCCCAUUGGAUAAAAUAAUGCAUAAAAGACAAGUCAGAUGAUGUAACUAAAAUCUUCAUUACGGAUGGAUAGUUGCGGAUGACAUCUUCAGAUAGUGGUUACGGUAGCAAAAGUGAUUGCGGUAGAUAGAACAGAUUGUGGUAGGAUAAGUGGUUGCGGAUUGUCAAGUUUAAGAGGGUCACUUUAUGUAUCAACAUUUUCCCCCAAAGUGACCUCUUCAACUUUUCUUUCUUACUUAUCAAGUUUUAGAAAUUUGAUGAAAAGCCAGCAAAACUUCCUAACUUCGCCGAGCCAUUGAAUUCUCCUUGUAAUCUCAAACUUCACUUCUUCAUUAUGUAUGCAUGUGUAGGAAAAUAGAAAAAAUGAUGAAAAUUAUAGAAACCGGUUGACCCGGCGGUCGAAUCGGUUGAACCGGAAACCGGUCAUCAUACCAAUUUUAAAAAUUGCUAGAAUGACCUCUAACUGCACUUGCAUACAAAAAAAUGGUGUUUCCUGUUUUUCAACCAUAGAAGGUGUCUUAUGAUGAGGGAUCUCCUUUUUAUCAACAUACAGAACCAAUGCAAACAUUUUAUGAAAGCCAAACCAAACAUCAUAUAAUUUCUUGAUCAUACGAUCAACAUUAUGAAUUCCCAAGAAUCUAACAAAAACAAAACAUUUCCCCAUACGUGACAUCUUAUUAGAAAUAAAGACAUCAACCACUUUGCCCAAUCACUACAAUAAAAAUGGGUUUAUAUGACUAAAAUUUCAGAGACUGAUUAAUCAGUCAUAGAUACCAUGUAUCUAGGACUGAUGAAUUAGUCUCGAAUACAAUCCAGGACUGAUUUUAAUGUGUGAAUCAUUAGAUACUAACCAAACUUAUUCAAGACUAACAUUCAUUCACUAAUCUAUGUGCGCCAGUUUGGGCUUGAUGGGAAACACAUUGGGGACUGAAUUUUAGUCUCGAAUAGUAUAUCACCAGUUGUGACUUUGGAGGGAAAGUUAUAUGGGACUGAAUUUCAGUCGUUGAUAGAUUUGUGCCAGUUUUGAUUGUAUAUGGAACUUAUUAGGGACUAAAUUUCAGUCAUUAAUACAACCGCACCAAUUUUUCAUUUGGAUGGGAACCUUUUUAAAGACUGAAUUUCAGUCUAUAACAUACAUUCACCAUUUAACAUUCAAAUAAACAUUUAAAACUGGCUGGAUCUUAGUAUCUAAUAAUGAUUAUUUAGUCAUAUAUACCAUAUAGCAGAGACUGAUGAAUCUGUCAUGAAUACUAUUUGGCAAGAAAGUUAUUAGGGGAUGAAAUUCAGUCUUAGAUAGACUAGCAACUUUUGACUUUGGAGAGAAAUCAUCAUGGACUGGAUUUUAGUCUUCAAGAAAUGUUAUUUAGUCAUAUAUAUACCAUAUAUCGGAGACUGAUGAAUCGGUCAUGAAUACUAUUUGGAAGCAAAGUUAUUAGGAGUUGAAAUUCAGUCUUAGAUGGACUAGCCACUUUUGACUUUGGAGAGAAAUUAUUAGGGACUGAAUUUUAGUCUUCGAAAAAUGUUAUUUAGUCAUAUAUACCAUAUAUUAGAGACUAAUAAGUUGGUCACGAAUACUAUUUUGAUAAAAAGAUAUUAGGGACUGAAGUUCAAUAAUAGAUAGUCUAUCGCAAAUUUCGACUUUGGAAGGGAAAUUAUGACAGACUGAAAUUAACCCAUGAUAGACGUGUGCCAAUUUUUACUGUGUAAGGAUGUUAUUAGGGGCUGAGUUUCGAUCAAUAAUAAAUUGCACCAAUUUUUCCUUUGGAUGAUAAACAUAUUAAAAACUGAAUUUCAGUCUCUAAAAGACAUGCACUAUUUAACAUUCAAAUAAACACUUCGAAUUGGUUGGAAAGACAUGCAUUAUUUAGUCAUAAUACCAUCUAUCAGAGAUUGAUGAAUCAAUCACAAAUACUAUUUGGAAGGAAAUCGACACAUUAUCCACCCUUAUCUUCAAACGUUUAAAAAUAUUUGCAACUAUAGCAUCUUCCAUUUUCAUGAUUUUAAUCCAAUAAUAAGUUAAGUAAAACUAAUAUUGAUCUCCAUGAUUUAUUUAAUGUCAUUAUCACAAAAUACCAAAAUGGACGGUUUCAUCUAAUAAUCUAAUUAUUUUUUUUAUACAAGAUGAUCAUCGAUUUCAUGAUGAAAAUUAAACAAUUGUUUUACAGAUUCAACAAAAGAAUGUAUAAAGUUUUUGAAAAAUUCAUAUUUUGCAAAAAAUGAAGGUUUUGUAAUAUUAUAUUAGUUUUUUUUUUUCCUAAAGCCUCUCCUUAAUGAGAAUAAUUUUACAAUUAAAUUUUUUUUUUGAACCGGCCGGAAAUUUUACAAUUAAAUCAAUUUCGAAAAGUGAUAUAUAACAAAAUAAGUUGUCAUUAAAAAAAAUAAAAAAAAAACCUCCAUUUGUAAAUGAAACUACCAUUUUUUUUUUUUGAAGUUUUUUGUGAUUAUCUACCUUCACGAAAAACAUUAUUAUACCUUCAAUAACUAUUUUUCCCAUGUAUUUCUUGGAAAAACCAAGGCAAUUGAAUUGAAUUAGCAAGUCUCCAGACUGAUUUACUGGAGCAGGAGAAGUCACAUCACUGAAUCAAUCAUGCCUCUUUUAAUUGAAUAUAGGGGUAGGGGAAUCUAGUAAGAAAGAAAUAGAAAAAAGGAUAGAAAUGGUCAAGUUCCAGCAUUUAUUUCAUCAAGAGAUUCGUUAAUCCACAAAAUAAUCAACUACUAGCUAAUGAUCACGACCACCACUACCACCGUCGUUGCUGCCGCCGCCACCACCACCACAACCACUUCCACGACCAUGCCCACCACCAUAACCUCCACCUAUGCCACUUUUGCCACAACUACUCCAUCACUUCCUUUCCUUUGCUACCACAACUAUGACCACCCUCCACAACUACAACCAUCUAUGUUGCCACCGCCACAACUAUCACCUUUGUUGUUACCGCAACCACUGUCACAUCCACGACCAUUACCACCACCACCACCACCUCCACUACCAUCUAUGUCAUCGUCACCACCACCAUGACUACCUCCAUCCUUUCACACUACAAACAAAAAGACAUGUAGUGACACACGCUUAAUGACACAUUUUUUUGCCAUUGUAAUAUGUUUUUCGUGACAUUAACAUUUAAUAUCAUAUUUUUUUUAAUGAUUGAUGAUUUGAAAUGCUAUUAUAAAUUAUAAAUUAUAGAUUUUAUAUUUUAAUUUCACUCCCAACAGUUUUACUUUCCUAUAUUUCAAUUUCAUUCCUUUUAAAUUUCCAAAUUCUAAUUUUGUUUCCCUUCUUAAAAAUUCAUUGCACUCUUACCCUUUGUAAUUUGUAUCUUCAUUCAAUUGAUCUAGGGCUUGUAAUUUCCAAGCGAAAAUGUCAAGCUCUUUCCCUAGGGGGUGUUUGGGAUUGUUUUUCAGGCUAAAAAGUUCUUUUUACAAAAAUCUUUUUUGACCUUUUGACUUUUUACAAAGAAAGUUUUAGAAUGUGUUUGAUUUAUCUUUUGACUUUUUAAAAUCUAAAAAUUCAAAAGUUACAAAAAGUCACAAAUUCAUAACUUUUGAAACAAUUCAUUUCUAUUCUUGCCAAAAAAAGUUGAUCUAAAAGAAUUUUUUGAAAUGCUAAACAUCUUUUUUGACUUUUCGCUUUUAAAAAAACCAAAAAUACUAAAGGGCAUUUUAAAAGGAUUCCCAACCCCCCUAAUCAUGUUCAAUCACUCUUCUAUGUCAAUCAUGUCAAAUUUAAUUUCUCUUUGACCCUUUGUAUCUUCAUACAUUGAUCCUAGGUCUGCUCGUCAAGAAUGGUUUUCAAUGCUAAUGGAAUAUCUUUCAUGUCUAGAGACGUACAACAACUGCUCAACGAAGUGCCUAGAGAAACUGUGUUUAAAACUCCACCCUUUUGGUGCUCCCCCAUUCUCUGCACCACCGGAAAACGGUGAUUCAUUUCACGCCACUAUGUCAUGCUCUCUCCCUUAUCACGCUCAAUCAUUUUUCAAUGCGUAUCUGAUCAGAGUUGGUUUUUCUAUGACCCCUUUGUAUCAUCAUAAAAUUGAUCCUAGGUCUCCUUGUCAAUAAUUUAUAGGCACACAACAAGUGCUCAACGAAAUGCAUGAAUAGAUUGUGUUCGCAACUCCUCCCUUUCAUUUAUCCCCCCGUUACCUACACCAUCGAAAAAGGUAAUACACGCUCUUAUGUGUAAUUCGUUGUCAGAUUUUUUGAUUUUUGGUCUUAUCAGUUGUUCUUGGGCUUUUUAUUUUAGUUUUGUGUAUCUACUCUGUUUGUUCUAAAGUUAUCAUAUUUUAGGUUUAAAAUAUCGUUUAUUGAAUGUUUUUUGGGCUUGAUGUUUAACCUAUUUGGUGGUGGCUAUGGAAACUCUGAAACGAGAUCUUCCCCACAAAAACUUGUUGAAGCUUUUCUCUACCUCUCUAUUGUCAAACCACUUUUGUUGUUAAUGUUUGGUAAGAUGGUGGAAGUUAGUUUCUAAUUUGAUGUUCUGUUGAUAGGUAAUUCUGAACUCUGUAGUCGAUUACUCUCCCACUAUUUCAAUAAUUCCAUUAGUCGGUUACUUUCAUGAUUAGAUUACUUACUUUCUAGAUUUGAAUGUAGAUUCCUUUUUCGGUUGCUUUUAAAUAGAUUUCAAGGAAUUGUACUUAAGCGUUCGAUGUUUAUGUAUGCGUUUCAUGCCAUCUUUGUUAGACCUUUGUUAAUCAGUUAAAUUUGUAUAUCUUAUUAUUGUUAAUUUUUUUAGGAAAUCUUUUAAAUAUAUAUCUUGUUAAUUUGUUCAGGCUAGAGGGAUGUAUCAAGCCUACAAUAUUUUGUUAAAGGCUCAAGGUAUGCCCACCUAUAAACAUGGAGUUUUUAUGCAUGAUGACAUCACAAAUCUAUUAAAGCAAGAAUAAUAGUUAUGAUUAUUCAUCAAAAUUUGGAAUUUUUUCACAUAUGGUUUAGUUAUUGACUUGUUUCUUAUACUUUUUUGUUUAUUGUUUUAACUUUGUUUGAUUUCAAACGAUUACGUUUCAUUUAUAUAUUACUAGUUCAUUUCGUAUAAAAAUAAAAAUUGAUUUUAUAUUUUUAAGUUAUUAUAUAUGUUAGUUUGAGACUAAAAUUUAGUAUUAAAUUGUAGCAUUUGCAACAUAUUAUUACAACUAAAAGUGUGUAUUAGGGAUUGAAUACCAGUCCUUGUAAACACGUAUCGGAUACCGAAUGAUCCGAGACUGAUAUCACGUCAUUGAGAAAUCAGGUUAUGGACCGAAUGACAUUCUAUUUGAGACUAAUAUCCGGUCACUGAAAAAUUACAUUAGGAACGGAAUGACAUUAUAUGUGAGACAGAUAUUUGAGACUAAUAUCAGUCACUAAACAAACAUUUAGAGACUAAAUGAGAUAAUAUUAAAGAUUGGUAUUCACUCCUUGGAUGAUGGUAUUAAAGACUAAUGUGAUAUAAAUGUGUCCUCGAAGGAAAUAUAAUGAAGACUCGGCAUGAUAGUAUCAAAGACAAAUAUUUAGUCUUUGAAAGAUAGUUUCAAGGAUUGAUACAACAAAUAAAACAUAUUGGGACUAAUAUGAUAUCAAAUUGGGGAUUUGAAGAAAACAGUUUAGAGACUAAAUGAGAUAUUAUCAAAGACUGGUUUUCUGUCGUUGGUACUUUGUUGUAAUAGGGAUUGAUUUAUAGUCCCAGAUACACAAAAAAUCAACAAGAUUAGGUCUCAGGGACUAGUUGGGGACUAAUAAAUCAAUCCUCUGAUUUUCGUCAGAGACUGUCAGUCUUUGAUAACCAUUUUUCUUUUUCUUGUAGUGAAUCUGAAACAAACUCGCCACAUAUACGAAGGUAAAACAAAUUCCGGAAAAUUCGUUACCUAAAAAGAAUGAGUAUCAGACCUGCCAAGAUGAUGAUCACAAUUAGAUUGAAAUUUGUUUCUCUUAUUCUUUCCAUCAUAAUAUUGAUCCCUAUUCCAUCCCUCCUCGGGCUUCCAAUGUGAAUUCCGAAAAGACAUGAUGAUGAACACCCUUGACAGAGCGUAAGAGACAACAAGCCCUAAAUUAAAUUGAAACCAAAUGAUCACGCAAUCAACCACAAAAGCACUGAGAUUCGGCCUCGGCCUUGCCGACAUUUGAAUCCAUCGGAGAAGAAGGGAUGAGGACAGUAGUCGGAGGCGGUAGGUCCGAAAUCGCCAGGGAUUGAUACUACACGCUUCGAAAAUUAAAUGAGUAAG